GGUUGACCUCGGAUCAGGUAGGGAUACCCGCUGAACUUAAGCAUAUCAAUAAGCGGAGGAAAAGAAACCAACCGGGAUUGCCUCAGUAACGGCGAGUGAAGCGGCAAGAGCUCAAAUUUGAAAUCUGGCCCCUCCGGGGUCCGAGUUGUAAUUUGCAGAGGAUGCUUCGGGCGCGGCCCCCGUCUAAGUGCCCUGGAACGGGCCGUCAUAGAGGGUGAGAAUCCCGUCUGGGACGGGGUGUCCGCGUCCGUGUGAAGCUCCUUCGACGAGUCGAGUUGUUUGGGAAUGCAGCUCUAAAUGGGUGGUAAAUUUCAUCUAAAGCUAAAUACUGGCCGGAGACCGAUAGCGCACAAGUAGAGUGAUCGAAAGAUGAAAAGCACUUUGAAAAGAGAGUUAAAAAGCACGUGAAAUUGUUGAAAGGGAAGCGCUUGCGACCAGACUCGCUCGCGGGGUUCAGCCGGCAUUCGUGCCGGUGUACUUCCCCGCGGGCGGGCCAGCGUCGGUUUGGGCGGCCGGUCAAAGGCCCCCGGAAUGUAGUGCCCUUCGGGGCACCUUAUAGCCGGGGGUGCAAUGCGGCCAGCCCGGACCGAGGAACGCGCUUCGGCACGGACGCUGGCAUAAUGGUCGUAAACGACC
Molecule: ribosomal RNA, 636 nt
Filed under: Aspergillus muricatus
Lineage: Eukaryota; Fungi; Ascomycota; Eurotiomycetes; Eurotiales; Aspergillaceae
Description: eukaryotic LSU rRNA
Rfam family: Eukaryotic large subunit ribosomal RNA
Source: RNAcentral